AGGGGGCUCUCGUCGGCCGCCUUUGGCGGCCCACAGAACCAGUCGGGGUAACAGGCCUCAAGCCCUCGUGUCUCCGUGGGCGACGACCCGAGCCGCAAGAGUCAUGCCCCAACGAGGGCGACCACGCGUGGGCGUGUCGGAAGUUGGGGAAAGGGCAACUGAGGGCAGGAAGUGCGGGAUGGAACACAUCCCGACCUGGGCUUGCUGCUCAUUUAAUGAGUAACUGAGUCUUUUUCACAUUUCGCAGAGGUACCCAUGUCCAGGAAGGGAAAGCCCAAGUCUGUUGCUGAUCAAAACCUGCUGUAUGCACAUCUUCCAUGUCCUUCCAGAGCAAAGAGUACUCUUUUGUCUUUCUCAUAGAUUAUUGCCUGCUAUUCUUUUCCUGAGGUGUCUUGUCUUCUUUGGGCCACAGGAAAAUGUUGAACUGGCUAGUGUGACGUGUUAAAUAAUCAUGUUUACUAACAUUUUUGUUUCGAAUAAGUAUACUGUGGAAAACUGAUUCAUGAGACAUACCUUAAUGUAAUUGCAUACUUUUAGCACGUUAAGUACAAUAUUUAGUAUAAUUGUAAAAAAGUAUGAUUUCUGAAUAAAUGUUAACUGUUAUACAUGUGAAA
Long non-coding RNA from Marmota monax (woodchuck), 614 nucleotides. RefSeq lists it as uncharacterized. Lineage: Eukaryota; Metazoa; Chordata; Mammalia; Rodentia; Sciuridae. The record is from RefSeq and is a predicted model, not a curated record. The transcript is spliced from 2 exons.